This 500-nucleotide ribosomal RNA is filed under the name uncultured bacterium. RNAcentral describes it as "partial 16S ribosomal RNA". It matches the Rfam family "Bacterial small subunit ribosomal RNA", at positions 28 to 507 of the family's 1533-position model. The record is from RNAcentral.
GACGGACGCUGGCGGCGUGCUUAACACAUGCAAGUCGAACGGGCCUGUCUUCUUUUUUGGGGGGUGGGUUGAGUGGCGAACGGGUGAGUAUCACGUGAGUAACCUGCCCUUCGGUCCUGGAUAACCGCUUGAAAGGGCGGCUAAUACGGGGUGGUCCGGUUGGUCCGCAUGGGCUGGUCGGGAUAGAUUCACUGUUUUUGGUGUUUCGGCGGGGGAUGGGCUCGCGGCCUAUCAGCUUGUUGGUGGGGUGAUGGCCUACCAAGGCGGUGACGGGUAGCCGGCCUGAGAGGGUGGGCGGUCACACUGGGACUGAGAUACGGCCCAGACUCCUGCGGGAGGCAGCAGUGGGGGGUAUUGCACAAUGGGCGGAAGCCUGAUGCAGCGACGUCGCGUGAGGGAUGGAGGCCUUCGGGUUGUGAACCUCUGUUUCCGGUGGUGAAGGCCCUGUCCGUGUGGUGGGGUUGACGGUAGCCGGGGAUGAAGCGCCGGCUAACUACGUG